RNAcentral lists this ribosomal RNA (301 nucleotides) under uncultured bacterium. Its description in RNAcentral is "partial 16S ribosomal RNA". It matches the Rfam family "Bacterial small subunit ribosomal RNA", at positions 509 to 808 of the family's 1533-position model. The record is from RNAcentral.
CAGUAGCCGCGGUAAUACGUAGGGUGCAAGCGUUAAUCGGAAUUACUGGGCGUAAAGCGUGCGCAGGCGGUACGCUAAGACAGACGUGAAAUCCCCGGGCUUAACCUGGGAACUGCAUUUGUGACUGGCGGGCUAGAGUAUGGCGGAGGGGGGUAGAAUUCCACGUGUAGCAGUGAAAUGCGUAGAGAUGUGGAGGAAUACCGAUGGCGAAGGCAGCCCCCUGGGCCAAACUGACGCUCAUGCACGAAAGCGUGGGGAGCAAACAGGAUUAGAUACCCCAGUAGUCCCUGUCUCUUAUACA